AUAUGGCAAGUGAUGAUUCCUGAUAAACUAAUGGGUAAUUUGCGUCUGAAAUAUCAUUGAUGCUAUCACCUAGCAUAGCUGAUGCCUUAU
Molecule: small nucleolar RNA, 90 nt
Organism: Mangifera indica (mango)
Lineage: Eukaryota; Viridiplantae; Streptophyta; Magnoliopsida; Sapindales; Anacardiaceae
Source: RefSeq, a predicted model, not a curated record